CGAAGGAGAGCUCGGCGGAGGAUUCAAUUGCCUGCCAAUGUUCAAGGAAUGGAUAGUGCAUGUCGGGCAGUUCGACGGUUCACCGUAUUUUGCCAUCAUCGCCAUUUACGGCCGGAACAAAGUAAAGGACUCUUGAUUGCAGUAGUCUUUUGCAACGCCUUGCAAUCACCUCCUAUCACCUUCACAUUUCACAUAAUCUCACACAGUAUAAUAAGCGCCGUCGCCAAAGAAGCUCAAGCAACAAAACAGCGAAAUAACGAAAUAAUGGAUUCACCUUCGACCAUUAUCUCUCUCAACACAAGCGCACAGACAAAUUCAUCAAAACUUUUCUCACAACGAAUGUCACAACAUGACAAUCAAACCGAAAGAUCCAUCACAUCUGAUCGGAACAUGCAAGUUCGAGACCACAAAUGCACUGCAAUCUAACGCCUACGCACUGCUUGCCCCAAGGUCGUAUAUAGUAGCAAAAGCCCAGUGGGAGAGAGAUCGGGGUCUGCCAUGAUCCCUUUGACCGUUGGGGGCAUUAGCUGUGAUGCUAAGAUAGAAGUUUUUUGACCUAUUGUAGGCAGAGGUCGAUGGGAAAUAGAAUGGUCUGGACGAGGCGAGGAGUGUGGAUAGGUUGGUCAGACUAACAUACGAAACUGUGAAGGAUUUUCUCUGCCAACAAUAUAAAAGUAGGGUAUUCUAUAAUCGCUGUUGUUGUGUCCGUCACUCUCACAAUCUACAUUUUCCAGAACCAACCAUCUCACAAUCGGCAAAUAAUCAGCAUGACAGGAAACCCUACGAUGAUAUUCGCCAAGCAUCGAUCCUCCAUCUCUCCUCCCCUCUUGGUACUCCUUUUGCUUCUAGUCCUCGUCUUCAUGACAUUAUCAGCCGACGCGGCUCUUACCCCGGUAUACAUGCACUAUUACUGCAGACAGCAAUGCGAACAACGUUUCAAGAUGUGUGCUAUGAGUGCUAUCUCUGGCCCCAAGUUGGCAUCUUGCUAUUCCAUUCGCGGCGUCUGCUAUAUGCGGUGCUAGAAGCCAUCAGCACAAUAUCUCCACAUCUUGCCUUCACCCUUAUCAUACAAUUACCAUGUUCUUACCAACCACGACUGCACAUCUCAGCAUGUCACCAUCAGCUGUCAGCAAGAUUUCAUCCACUAACCAUAACAUUUCGAUUCACAUAUAGAGUAUAGAUCAACAUAGAUUAAAUAGACUUCCUGCUUCUUAAUAUCAGCCUUGUUAACAUCGACGGACAAUCUCCUCACCUACAAAUAAAGACAGUGAGACAUUCUCAGCAACAUCAUGAUAGUAUGUCUUAGUUAGCAAUAUUCAUCGAACAUUCGUCUAUCUCAGCACAUUGGGACAUUCUUCUAUCUCAGCACAUUAUACAAACCUUUUAAGUAUCUUUUGAUGAUGUAAUUUGGCGAUAAAGUAAUGAAUUAGAGAGUAUGUAUGGUCACUGACUUCGGUCGGUUACUUAUAUGUUCGGAGG
This 1479-nucleotide small RNA is filed under the name Cryptococcus neoformans H99. RNAcentral describes it as "Cryptococcus neoformans var. grubii H99 hypothetical RNA". Lineage: Eukaryota; Fungi; Basidiomycota; Tremellomycetes; Tremellales; Cryptococcaceae. The record is from RNAcentral.